AAUAAUCUAGGCCUGCCCUACACGGAGCAAGCGAGCGUCAGGCCUUCCCGAGGGAUUCCCAGAAGCAUGACCCGGUUCUGGUCGCGGUCCACCGAGGAUUGGAGCGGCAGUGACACGGGCGGCCCUGCAGCGGCAGAACCAAGGUCAGGCCCCAAGGGAUAGCGGGGCAGCAGCCUGCAGCGCAGACGCAGGACACCGGCGUCCAUCCUUGCUCUCCUCCCCAAGAGUCCAGGCUUUCCCGGCCUGGUGCUCCAGCUUUGCUUUCGUUUCCCAGGCAAACGACUUUGACCUCAAAUUCACGUUUUCACCCAAGAAUGCAAUCCAGAAUCCUUGUCCCCCUAUUCGAGUAGGGUGACCAGGAAGGCCGAGAAACCCAGACCGAGGGUGCUCCGCGAGUGGGCAGAGUUCCUUUCACUUUCCCCCUUUGCUCGGCAAUUUCGGGUGCCAACUACCUGGGCCCAGCCCAGCUUCAGAGACUGGCCCCGUGCUCUGGAGAAAGCAACCACCCCGUGGGGAAAACACUACAGCCUCAGAAUGGAUCUCAGCGUCUCGUCCGCUUCACCCUCAUUCUCUGUGCCGGGAAAUUCUCGAGAGGGCAGCAACACACCUCGCACCUCCCUUCUUUCCAAGAGUUGCGCUUCCCCAAACCCGCUCCCCGCUGGUUU
This 665-nucleotide long non-coding RNA is filed under the name Mus pahari (shrew mouse). RNAcentral describes it as "lncRNA (MGP_PahariEiJ_G0005333.1)". Lineage: Eukaryota; Metazoa; Chordata; Mammalia; Rodentia; Muridae. The record is from RNAcentral.